UACAGAGACUGCAAGCGUUAUUCGGAUUUACUGGGCGUAAAGGGCGCGCAGGCGGUUCUGUUUGUCGAGUGUGAAAGCCCCGGGCUCAACCUGGGAACUGCGCUCGAAACGGCGGAACUAGAGUUCGGGAGAGGAGAGUGGAAUUCCCAGUGUAGAGGUGAAAUUCGUAGAUAUUGGGAAGAACACCGGUGGCGAAGGCGGCUCUCUGGACCGAUACUGACGCUGAGGCGCGAAAGCGUGGGGAGCAAACAGG
Molecule: ribosomal RNA, 253 nt
Filed under: uncultured bacterium
Lineage: Bacteria
Description: partial 16S ribosomal RNA
Rfam family: Bacterial small subunit ribosomal RNA
Source: RNAcentral